Molecule: ribosomal RNA, 483 nt
Filed under: uncultured bacterium
Lineage: Bacteria
Description: partial 16S ribosomal RNA
Rfam family: Bacterial small subunit ribosomal RNA
Source: RNAcentral
GACGAACGCUGGCGGCGUGCUUAACACAUGCAAGUCGAACGCUGAAGCUCAGCUUUUGUUGGGUGGAUGAGUGGCGAACGGGUGAGUAACACGUGAGUAACCUGCCCCCUUCUUUGGGAUAACGCCCGGAAACGGGUGCUAAUACUGGAUAUUCACUGGUCUUCGCAUGGGGGUUGGUGGAAAGGGUUUUUCUGGUGGGGGAUGGGCUCGCGGCCUAUCAGCUUGUUGGUGGGGUGAUGGCCUACCAAGGCUUUGACGGGUAGCCGGCCUGAGAGGGUGACCGGUCACAUUGGGACGGAGAUACGGCCCAGACUCCUACGGGAGGCAGCAGUGGGGAAUAUUGCACAAUGGGCGCAAGCCUGAUGCAGCGACGCCGCGUGAGGGAUGGAGGCCUUCGGGUUGUGAACCUCUUUCGCUCAUGGUCAAGCCGCAACAAUGGUUGUGGUGAGGGUAGUGGGUAAAGAGGCGCCGGCUAACUACGUG